This is a long non-coding RNA of Cornus florida, 1156 nucleotides long. RefSeq lists it as uncharacterized. Lineage: Eukaryota; Viridiplantae; Streptophyta; Magnoliopsida; Cornales; Cornaceae. The transcript is spliced from 4 exons. The record is from RefSeq and is a predicted model, not a curated record.
AGUUUCAUAGACAAAAAAUAGUGGACAAUAUAUGUCAAUUCUAUGUAGUUUGAGGAUAUUUCAAUUCUAUCUGUGUCUAUAUAAAGACACAUGUAACUCAUGAAUGAGAAUCUUCACAUCUUCUAUAUAUAUAGAGAGAGUAUACAUCUCUUUCUCAACUGUAAGCAAUAAACCUUUCUCCAUGCCAAGCAUGCUAGCAAUCAUAUCCAACAGUCUCAGAGCAAGAAAUCAUUUAUGAUAUAUAUAUAUAUAUAUAUAUAUAUAUAUAUAAUAUUUUGCUCUGAAAUUUGUUAUAUUGAGUUUUAGAAAUUGGAUAUGGAAAUAUUGUGUUUUGGAAAUGUUUAUGGAUUGAUGAUAGUUCCAGAGGACCUUGAAGUUGAAAAGGACAACAGUUUCGAACUUUGAUUUCAAGUGCAUAGAGGCCAUGAAAAUCAUCUAAUAGAAGAAUUGUCCAUAUCAUUAUCUGGUCUACACAAAAGGGGCUUAAAGCAGAACAACACAUCUCUCUUUUUUGUGAGCUGAUGAAAACUAUAUAGAUGUAUAAUCACAAGCAAUAUCCAACUCAAGGGUACACAUAUCUACUUUCUCAUGAGGCUACAUGACUCUCCUAGAUGUUUAUGAAGUGAUGAUGGUUCCAAAGUGGCUUGAGGUUGAAAAGGACAACAGUUUCGAGCUUCGAUUCCAGGUACGGAGAAGCCAUGAAAGUGAGUAACUUUUUUUUUUUAUCUUUUUUUCUUUGGUUCUAAUAAAACAAAACAUCUCUCUCUUGCCUUUUUAUAGUGAAAUCAUAUUCUAAUUCGAUGAUAGUCGAUUGAUUUAUUUUUAAUGUUGCCAAAUGCUUAAAAAUAUUUCCCACGUAUUUGUCUUGUUGCUGAGGAAAUAUAGAAGGCGGCAGAAAAUUGGGUUUAUCAUAUUGUUUUUGUUUCCUCCUUUUUCUUAUGUUUUCUCAGUGGCAAGCAUGUCCCGAGGACUUCAAAGGUUUAAUUUGUGGAAAUUAUUUUAUAUAAAUAUAUAUAUAUAUAGGAAAAUGUUUGGAGGGCUUGCUCAAAGUGAGCUCGCUUUAUCAUCCUUUGGAUCCAGUGAAUAUGGGCACUAGCUCAUUAUGAGAACACCCUCAUCAUAUGAGCUCAUAUAUAUAUAUAUAUAUAUAUAUAUA